AGCCAACUCCUAGCCCCUAGGUCAACCCUACAACUAGCCAGCACUGGCAGUCUUCGCCAUGCAAUUGUUUGGGAAUGCAGCCCAAAUCGGGCGGUAAAUUCCGUCCAAGGCUAAAUACGGGCGAGAGACCGAUAGCAAACAAGUACCGCGAGG
RNAcentral lists this non-coding RNA (153 nucleotides) under Cephalotus follicularis. Its description in RNAcentral is "Eukaryotic large subunit ribosomal RNA". It matches the Rfam family "Eukaryotic large subunit ribosomal RNA", at positions 217 to 358 of the family's 3401-position model. Lineage: Eukaryota; Viridiplantae; Streptophyta; Magnoliopsida; Oxalidales; Cephalotaceae. The record is from Rfam by way of RNAcentral.